This 253-nucleotide ribosomal RNA is filed under the name uncultured bacterium. Its description in RNAcentral is "partial 16S ribosomal RNA". It matches the Rfam family "Bacterial small subunit ribosomal RNA", at positions 524 to 776 of the family's 1533-position model. The record is from RNAcentral.
UACGUAUGGUGCAAGCGUUAUCCGGAUUUAUUGGGUGUAAAGGGCGUGUAGGCGGGAGCGCAAGUCAGAUGUGAAAACUCAGGGCUCAACCCUGAGCCUGCAUUUGAAACUGUGUUUCUUGAGUGCUGGAGAGGCAAUCGGAAUUCCGUGUGUAGCGGUGAAAUGCGUAGAUAUACGGAGGAACACCAGUGGCGAAGGCGGAUUGCUGGACAGUAACUGACGCUGAGGCGCGAAAGCGUGGGGAGCAAACAGG